AUCGCUUCUUGGCCUUUUGGCUAAGAUCAAGUGUAGUAUAAAGCAUGGCUAUGAUCUGAAUUUGUCUCCCAAAUUUAA
Molecule: small nuclear RNA, 78 nt
Filed under: Sciurus vulgaris (Eurasian red squirrel)
Lineage: Eukaryota; Metazoa; Chordata; Mammalia; Rodentia; Sciuridae
Description: U2 spliceosomal RNA (ENSSVLG00005007035.1)
Source: Rfam by way of RNAcentral